Molecule: ribosomal RNA, 585 nt
Filed under: Hanseniaspora uvarum
Lineage: Eukaryota; Fungi; Ascomycota; Saccharomycetes; Saccharomycodales; Saccharomycodaceae
Description: partial large subunit ribosomal RNA
Rfam family: Eukaryotic large subunit ribosomal RNA
Source: RNAcentral
CCAUGGUAUACUUAGUACGGCGAGUGAAGCGGUAAAAGCUCAAAUUUGAAAUCUGGUACUUUCAGUGCCCGAGUUGUAAUUUGUAGAAUUUGUCUUUGAUUAGGUCCUUGUCUAUGUUCCUUGGAACAGGACGUCAUAGAGGGUGAGAAUCCCGUUUGGCGAGGAUACCUUUUCUCUGUAAGACUUUUUCGAAGAGUCGAGUUGUUUGGGAAUGCAGCUCAAAGUGGGUGGUAAAUUCCAUCUAAAGCUAAAUAUUGGCGAGAGACCGAUAGCGAACAAGUACAGUGAUGGAAAGAUGAAAAGAACUUUGAAAAGAGAGUGAAAAAGUACGUGAAAUUGUUGAAAGGGAAGGGCAUUUGAUCAGACAUGGUGUUUUUUGCAUGCACUCGCCUCUCGUGGGCUUGGGCCUCUCAAAAAUUUCACUGGGCCAACAUCAAUUCUGGCAGCAGGAUAAAUCAUUAAGAAUGUAGCUACUUCGGUAGUGUUAUAGCUUUUUGGAAUACUGUUAGCCGGGAUUGAGGACUGCGCUUCGGCAAGGAUGUUGGCAUAAUGGUUAAAUGCCGCCCGUCUUGACCCCCGGAACCA